UACGUAGGCAGCAAGCGUUGUUCGGAGUUACUGGGCGUAAAGAGUGCGUAGGCGGUCCUGUACGUUUGGUGUGAAAUCUCCCGGCUCAACUGGGAGGGUGCGCCGAAGACUGCAGGGCUUGAGUAUGGGAGAGGUAAGCGGAAUUCCGAGUGUAGAGGUGAAAUUCGUAGAUAUUCGGAAGAACACCAGUGGCGAAGGCGACUUACUGGACGAUUGUUGACGCUGAGGUGCGAAAGCGUGGGGAGCAAACAGG
Molecule: ribosomal RNA, 253 nt
Filed under: uncultured bacterium
Lineage: Bacteria
Description: partial 16S ribosomal RNA
Rfam family: Bacterial small subunit ribosomal RNA
Source: RNAcentral